Non-coding RNA from Acanthosepion pharaonis, 112 nucleotides. NCBI's taxonomy places the organism in Eukaryota, Metazoa, Mollusca, Cephalopoda, Sepiida, Sepiidae. The record is from the annotation of a GenBank genome assembly.
UACGGCCAUAUCACGUUAAAACAUCGAUUCUCGUACGAUCACCGAAGUUAAGCAACGUCGAGCCUGGUCAGUAAUUAGAUGAGUGACUGCUUGGGAAUAUCAGGAUCUGUAA